RNAcentral lists this ribosomal RNA (448 nucleotides) under uncultured bacterium. RNAcentral describes it as "bacterial SSU rRNA". It matches the Rfam family "Bacterial small subunit ribosomal RNA", at positions 330 to 794 of the family's 1533-position model. The record is from RNAcentral.
ACCAGACUCCUACGGGAGGCAGCAGUGGGGAAUAUUGCACAAUGGGGGGAACCCUGAUGCAGCGACGCCGCGUGAGUGAAGAAGUAUUUCGGUAUGUAAAGCCCUAUCGGCAGGGAAGAAAUUGGACGGUACCUGACUAAGAAGCCCUGGCUAACUACGUGCCAGCAGCCGCGGUAAUACGUAGGGGGCAAGCGUUAUCCGGAUUCACUGGGUGGAAAGGGAGCGUAGACGGCCAUGCAAGCCUGGAGUGAAAGCCCGGGGCCCAACCCCGGGACUGCUCUGGGAACUGUGCGGCUGGAGUGCGGGAGGGGCAGGCGGAAUUCCUGGUGUAGCGGUGAAAUGCGUAGAUAUCAGGAGGAACACCGGCGGCGAAGGCGGCCUGCUGGACCGCGACUGACGUUGAGGCUCGAAAGCGUGGGGAGCAAACAGGAUUAGAUACCCUGGUAGA